AUACGAAGGGGGCAAGCGUUGUUCGGAACAACUGGGCGUAAAGCGCACGUAGGCGGAAUGUUAAGUUAGAGGUGAAAUCCCAGGGCUCAACCCUGGAACUGCCUUUAAUACUGGCAAUCUAGAGACCGAGAGAGGUGAGUGGAAUUCCGAGUGUAGAGGUGAAAUUCGUAGAUAUUCGGAGGAACACCAGUGGCGAAGGCGGCUCACUGGCUCGGUACUGACGCUGAGGUGCGAAAGCGUGGGUAGCAAACGGGAUUAGAAACCCCAGUAGUCC
Molecule: ribosomal RNA, 274 nt
Filed under: uncultured bacterium
Lineage: Bacteria
Description: partial 16S ribosomal RNA
Rfam family: Bacterial small subunit ribosomal RNA
Source: RNAcentral